Molecule: long non-coding RNA, 503 nt
Filed under: Sorghum bicolor (sorghum)
Lineage: Eukaryota; Viridiplantae; Streptophyta; Magnoliopsida; Poales; Poaceae
Description: long non-coding RNA (SBIC_LNC000782)
Source: RNAcentral
AUCUAUAUUGGAACCAGAGAAGUCCACAUGCACUUCCCCUCUGAAGGCGAUGCAUCUAAAACCAAAGGAGGCAAAUCAUCAAGGACGGAUGGGCAGACUACGAAGAAGAAGUGGUAAAGACUGAAGACAUAUAGCUUGAACAGAACUGUCCUGAGGAGACCGUAGCACCGAGUCAGGUGUGGAGAGAGAAGAUAGUUAUACACGAAGAAGAGGUGCCGCCAGAACCACUGACUACGCCAUCUAGCAAAUCCUAGGACGACUAAGAAAAAUAGAGAGUCCCGUUCGGAGGACUUAAGAACAUCGAACGCCUUGCCAAGAGGUAAACUUGAUAGUUAUCCUUUUCCUUUCAAUAGUUUGCUUAGUUAAUCAGGUUCAUGCUAUCAUAAAAAGAAAAUAAAAAUGUUAAAAAUAGUAAGCCCCAUGUGAGUAGACUUGUGGUUUAAAAACCCAUAGGUAUAUUGACUGUGGUGGCAUAAAAUAAAUAUGUUUUCAUCUUACAAUAA